AGUAUAUAUAAGUCCUAAUAACUCACUUAUUCUUUCUUCAUAUCCACUAAAUGGAGUCUUGGUCAUUAUAUCCAUAAGACAGGAUUCACAAGUUUCUAAUGAUUCGUAAUCAUAAGGAUCAAAAAACUCUUCUUUAUAUAACUUAUUAAUUCUCGUCUCAUUUAUAUGACCAAGUCGACAAUAUCAAAAUAAAGUAUUAUUUAUUUUUUUUCUUUUUCGCUUUUUGCUUUCAUCAAUAUGAAAAAUAUUAUCAUUAGAUAGAAUCAAAAGAUCAUUAUUAACAAUGCCAUGAUAAAAAAUUUUAUUAGAAAAAAAUUGAGUAAUUAUUACUCUUUCUAUUUAUUUCAAAAUUUCAUUGGAAUGACAACGAUACAGAAAUAAUAUUCCUAAUGAUCUUAGGCAUAUAAUAACAGUUUUCUAGCUAUAAGAUCUUUCCAGAAGGUAACUUCAAUAUAUAUGUCCCCACAGC
This 469-nucleotide long non-coding RNA is filed under the name Elaeis guineensis (African oil palm). RNAcentral describes it as "long non-coding RNA (EGUI_LNC076504)". The record is from RNAcentral. Lineage: Eukaryota; Viridiplantae; Streptophyta; Magnoliopsida; Arecales; Arecaceae.